Molecule: long non-coding RNA, 1425 nt
Organism: Artibeus jamaicensis (Jamaican fruit-eating bat)
Lineage: Eukaryota; Metazoa; Chordata; Mammalia; Chiroptera; Phyllostomidae
Exons: 3
Source: RefSeq, a predicted model, not a curated record
GUAAUUAAGAGUGCAGUCUCAGAAACCAGAGUCCGGGUUCAAAUCAUGCCUUUACCAUUGUAGCAGGUUAAAGAUGGCCACAAAUUUUCUGAUACCCCCGGAGAGAUGAGGGCUAUGCCCCUUCCUCUGAAUCUGAGAUGACUAUGUGACAACUCUCACCAAGGAAUAUAAAAGUGACCCUGUCUCAGUUUCUGGGCCAGGCCUUGGAAAUGGAUGGCUUCUACCUCUUGUGUCUCAGAGCCUUGAACCACCAUGUAAAAUUCAACUACAGUGCUGCAGAGACCACAUGGAGAGACCCGAGACUGCAGGCAAGGAGAUAGGAGGCCAGCUGAUCCCAGUCUUACAGACUUCUCAUCAAAGCAUAUUUUCAGAAACACAUCUUGUGUGUGAAACACUUUCCUGAAAAAAAAAAAAAAGGCUCCUUGGAAGGAGGAACUGCUGGGUUGAGCCCUGGAGGAGUGGAAUAGGGGAGAAUGUGAGGGGAGCAGAAAAGGAAGUAGGAAGAUGGUCAGCCUGAUGCGGCAGGAAGGACAGCACUGGGCACAUUGGCAGAUACAUCAUGGGUGCUUCAAACACACUCAUCAUCAGACUUCCGCCAAGAUGGAGACAUAGGUGGAGGAACCACCUUGCCUCUGUGCACAACCAAAUCUAAGAACAACUAUUUUUAACAACAAUCACAACCAAGCCACAUGGAAAAUCGACAAUACGGAGUCCAAAGACAACUAAAUGCUCAGCUAAACCGGUAAGAGGAGUGAAGCCAGCAGUGGAGCAGGUUAUCAAGAAAAAAUCCCCGGGUGGUACGCGGUGCACAAGCAGCCGAAGGUGCUGAUCACGAGCUAGCUACGGGAGCGCACAGGGAAGAGGCGCGCGGGCUGCCUGUGGUCAGUCGGUCAUGCAUCUGCAUGCGGAGAAACCAGUGAGAAGGGAAGCCUGCGCGGGGCAGUAGGCUCGCACAAUUCCGAUCGGAUAAACAAGCCCGGGGUGAGUGGUGUGACUGGACGGGCUGGGCUAGCGGAGAGGACCGCCAUUGCUCCCUCUCUGACCACGCCCCCACACACAGCGUCACAAACCAGCGACCUGGGUAGCCCCGUCCUGGUAAACAACUAAGGCUUGGCUCCGCUUACUUAACAGCACAAAUAGACCAAAAAUGGCUAUAAGACAACUCAGAGCCCCAGAACCGAUAGAUCUAAGUGAUGAAGAAAUAGCCAGUCUUUCAGAUGCACAGUUCAAAACACUGGUUAUCAGGAUCCUUACAGAACUGGUUGAUUUUAGUCACAAAUUAGAGAAACAUAUGGAAGCUAAACUAAUUGAAAUGAAUGGUAAUACAAAGGAAACCAAUAGUAAUGGAAAGAAAAUUGGGACUCAAAUCAAGGGAGUGGACCAAAAGGAAGAAAAAAUGAUCAAACAGAAAAGAAUGAAGAAAUA